This 67-nucleotide transfer RNA is filed under the name Rhodinocichla rosea. RNAcentral describes it as "tRNA-Cys". Lineage: Eukaryota; Metazoa; Chordata; Aves; Passeriformes; Thraupidae. The record is from RNAcentral.
GGCUCUGUAGUGAAGUUCAUAGUGGGUUGCAAGCCUAUUGAUGUGCAUUUGUCGUGCACCGGAGUCU